GUGUCAGCAGCCGCGGUAAUACGUAGGGCGCAAGCGUUGUCCGGAAUUAUUGGGCGUAAAGAGCUCGUAGGCGGUUUGUCGCGUCUGUCGUGAAAGCCCACAGCUUAACUGUGGGUCUGCGGUGGAUACGGGCAGACUAGAGGCAGGUAGGGGAGAACGGAAUUCCCGGUGUAGCGGUGAAAUGCGCAGAUAUCGGGAGGAACACCGGUGGCGAAGGCGGUUCUCUGGGCCUGUACUGACGCUGAGGAGCGAAAGCGUGGGGAGCGAACAGGAUUAGAUACCCUGGUAGUCC
This 292-nucleotide ribosomal RNA is filed under the name uncultured bacterium. RNAcentral's name for it is "partial 16S ribosomal RNA". It matches the Rfam family "Bacterial small subunit ribosomal RNA", at positions 505 to 796 of the family's 1533-position model. The record is from RNAcentral.